UAGGUGAAGUAAAUUUACGCUUAUUAUUGUUUUUUUUAUCAAGUGUGCUUCUUAUUUGGAGUAUUUGGUAGUUUCAUUACUUUUUUUAUUUUGCUCUAACAUAACAUGAGUUACAAGAGUGGAUACAAAAAUGGUGGAGAGUUGACAAGUAACCAACAACACUAAGGGAGGAUUUUAGGCUAUAGGUCACAAGGAAUAUCAACACUAUAUCGUCUGUGAAAAGCAUACACCAAGGAAUAUUAUCUUGAAUAUGUCCUGUUAACUCAUCCAUUACCAAUGCAAAAAGGUAAGGACUUAAAGAUGAGCCUUGAUGUAACCCUACAGUUAUGGGGAAGCUUUCGGUUUGUCCUUCAUGAAUUCUUACGGUAGUCCUUGCUCCAUCAUACAUAUCCUUUAGAGCUUAGAUAUAUGCUACUCGUACUUUUUUCUUCUCUAAAAUCCUCCAAAGAAUGUCUCUUAGAACCCUAUCAUACGCUUUUUCCAAAUCUAUAAAGACCAUGUGCAUAUCAUUUUUCAUAUUCCUAUAUCAUUCCAUCAAUCUUCGUAAGAGAUAGAUUGCCUUCAUGGUUGAGAGUCUUGGCAUGAACCCGAAUUGGUUGUUCGAGACUCGUGUCUCUUGCCUCAGUCUAUGCUCAAUUACUCUCCCAAAGCUUUAUUGUAUGACUCAUUAACUUAAUACUCAUAUAGUUCAAGAAACUUUGUACGUUGCCUUUAUUCUUGUGGAUAGGCACCAAAAUACUCUUUCGCCACUCAUUUGGCAUCUUCGUUUUCAAAAUCCUAUUGAAAAGGUCCCCCAAAGAAGUAAUCUUUUCCCGUCCUUCAUUGAAAAGAUUAUGAAAAUAACCUCUCCGUCUGUCUUUGACCGCGUUCUCUAUAGCAAGAACCUUUUCAUUCUCAUCCUUGAUGCACCUCACUUGGUUUAGAUCUCUUGUCUUCUUUUCCCUUGCUCUAGCUAGUUUAUAGAUAUCCAACUCUCCUUCUUUGGUAUCUAGUCGCUUAUACAUAUCGUCAAAAGUUGUUAGUUUAGCUUCUCUCACAUCUUUCUUCGCCUCCUUCUUCGCUAUUCUAUACCUUUCACCGUUUUUUUCGGUCAUAUCCUUGUAUAAGGUUUUACAACAUUCCUUCUUAGCCUUAACCUUUUGUCUGUACAUCCUCCUUCCACCACCAAGAUUCCUUUUGGUGUGGAGAAAAACCCUUGGACUCUCCUAAUACCCAUUUUUUUACUUUUCGGAUACUACUAGCCAUGGAAUCCCACAUUUGGCUAGAUUGCCCCUCUAUUCCAAACAUAUUGGGUGAUUACCUUCUCUUUGAAAAUGACUUGUUUUUCUCCUUUUAGAUUCCACCAUCUAGUCCUUGGGCACUUCAAGGUCUUGUUUUUUUUUCUCUCUUUGGAUAUGUACAUCCAUCACCAACAAGCGAUGUUGAUUAGCCGAGCUCUAUCCCGGUAUAACUUUACAAUCCUUACAAGUUAUAUUUGAUAAGUUUUACUAAUUAUUUUAAUCAUACUACAUACAAUCUUGUACUAAAUCUCUUCCAUAGAUCUACUCAAAUGACUUGGAACUUCAUAUUAAUUAGUUUCAAGCAAUCAUAAGGAGAAAUGAAAUAAUUGUGAUAUUUUAGAUCAUUCAUAUCAAGUAACAAUAAGGAGACAUGAAAAAAAUUGUCUACUAACAACAAAGUUGCCUAGUCACAAUGAUAUGUCAUAGUCACUUAUUGAUCUCAAACACUUCUUCACAAAGAAGACUAGGCUUCUUACAACCUUUUUAGCAUAUAAGAUCUCCAAGCGCAUAGAGAACUUCAAGAUCACAUUGUUGAAUACAAUUCUUUAAAAAUGAGGCUAAUGGGCACCCUAAUACCCCUAAAAGUUAAACAAGGAAGAUGCAACGAACAAGCCUCGACAAGAGAUCUUAGAGGAUGGGGUCAAAGCUUCGUACUCAAGCCAACCUGUGUCAUUUCUCAUUCGAUCAAAGAAAGAGUUAAAAUUGACCUUCAAUCCACGCGACAGACCACCGUAGGCAUGAAGUCCACAAAUGUGGUAAGGGUGCGGAUGAGCACCAACAGCAAUUUGAGGCAAAGAGGAAGCAUAAAUUGAAAAAUCUACAGAUGAAGAGUGAAAGAACAGAAAGAGGGAAAAUAUAUGGUGUCGGGGGGGGGGGGGGUUAGAGAAGAAGAUGGAGUGGGUGUUGCAAGGAUGAAAGAAACAAGUGGAGGAAGAACAGAAACAAGAACAAACCACAAAAUGGGCAUAGCACCCAAAUCUGAGACACUAGCUCAAAACAACUGAGACAAAAUCUUAGAAAACUGAUACAAGAGCUCAUAAGGUUGCAAAUCAGAGGGGUUGGGUGGAGCAAAAGCUUUGCUAUCCCAUUACACAAGUAAUCAACAAUGAGAACAACAGUAACUCAGCUCAGGUUUACCGGCGGUUGACAUGCAUGAUCAGCUUAUCACUCUCUAUGGCAUGGCUAUCAACAAAGGGGAAUGAGACCAACUCAUCUUGGUUCUUAGGUGGUGAUGACCACAGCCUAGUCAAGUUGAUUGAUUUCGAUGAUGUCCCUUUUUCCAGUCAUUCAUCACAGUCAACCAAGGCAAUGAGGUCAGCUCGAAUUGCCGAUGGUGGACCCUUUGAUGGCCUAAAAAGGCCUUUCUAUACGUGGGAGUAUGUUGGCCCUAAUACGUGACGACUCCUUAUUGAUGUAUUCAACUCGGAAAGUUAUAGGUAAAGAAUGCCAAAUAGUAAAAAUAGGAAGAUCUAGAUGACAAAAAGCUUAUUCACACUCUAGCAAAUAGAUGUAUCAACUGCUUAGAAGCUAGCUUCAAAAGAAUUUUCUUUUGACGCAAUAGACAAGUUAAUACACACCACCCUACAAUAAGAGCAUAUUUUCUGUGCAAGCUCACAGAUUCCCUACAACAAGAGCCUCUUUUCUAUGCACGCUCACAUAUUGAUAUACUAAAUCCUAUUUAACACAUUCUAGGUUAAAGGAGCUACUUUAAAAUGGUAUUUCUAGUUUUAUUAAUAAAAAU
Molecule: long non-coding RNA, 3021 nt
Filed under: Malus domestica (apple)
Lineage: Eukaryota; Viridiplantae; Streptophyta; Magnoliopsida; Rosales; Rosaceae
Description: long non-coding RNA (MDOM_LNC015807)
Source: RNAcentral